CUCUAGCAGACGCGACUCAUUUCACGGUGAUUCGGAUAACUUCGGCUUUUCACUUUGCUAUUGCUUUGCUAUGGGCUUGGACGGUACUCUAGUCUAUCUUUCUAUUCUAUCGUAUUAUGUCGUGCGACGGUUGGCAUGAAGAUAAAAGAAGGAUCUUUUGGGCGAGGUUGAGGGUAGGAUUUGUCUGUGUGAAAUCGAUAUCUUUUUCUUAUCACGCCAGUGACAAUGGAAACAAAUUAUUGUGAUACCAGUGACAAAUUUUUUAGGCAAAAUGGCCGACGUGGAAAAAUAUCGUAUGGAAAUACGAUUUCACCAUUCGGUUAAAUAUUUCUACUUACCGACCGAGUUACUAGCGUCUGGGUUCGUCAACGGCGUGAUCGCAGCCGCUCAAUGCGAUUCGAUGUCUCUCAAGGAUUAAAUCAAUGACCGCCUGUCGAAAUAUAAAGAGAAUUGGAACGUUCAAGCUGCUACGUGAUUGCAAAGUCUCGUUAAGCUUUUGUACGCUGAACGAAGGGACGCAGACGACGCAGAUUGAACUGGGAAUUGAGACGCUGGAGCAAUGCACGGCCCUUAAUUAGGGGUGCUGAAGGAAAUAACCUAACUACAGAUACCCAAUAGAAGCAUGAAAAACAGUGUAAAUGUAUUCUCUAUCAUACGCCUAUGUCCCAUGGAGGAGCAGAACACAGAUUGAAGGUCCCUUCGCUCUGCAGCUUCCUUCUCAAUGGGCGACAAGGUAGAAGACCCAAGAGGCUUGCGAUGAGUGCCCUUACGACGUCAGGCAGCGUCGCGACGGAUCCUCGUGGUGUAAUGAGAGGGAUGGAGGGUCUCCUGGAAUUUUGUGGAAAACGCGCAGCCGUUUACACAUAUCUACAAAAAGCCCACCAACGAACCAGCCAAGGAGCGUACAAGGGGUUAAUAAACCAAGUACGGUUGGUACACGUAGCGACAUCAGUUCUUCGUCCAGGGGCCAAUGGCUGCACUACUCGCAAUAUAAAAGAGUCCCCUGAUUGUACAACUGAUGUCGAUCUUAUGACUUGAGCCAGCGGCAACUUCAGCCUCCUUCCAUGUCUACGUCGAGACGUCCUGAUCUCUGCAGAUUCACCCUCCGAGGGCGGAGAUAAAAAAAGGACCAGUGGACAAGGACAGUAGGUGGCUCCUGGUUUGUCCUCCUUGGGUCGUCGUUGUUCCCUUACCAUGUCAGAGGGGAAGUUUUUUUUUUCUUCCUGAGCUUUCUUCAUUCGCUAGUCGGUUUUUCCUUUAUUGUAUUUUCAUUCUUCGUAGAUGGACGAUCACUCGGUCUCUUUAACUUCUAUACAAGGGAUAAACUCCAGGCAGUGUAGAAUCUCGAGGGUGGCUACCCUGAGAAUUUUACGGUAAAUGGUGGGAAAUUUAGUGAGAGCGCCAUCUACGUUCCCUAGACCUACGUGUAUGAAGUGGUUUGACGUUUUUGACCCAGUUCCAAAAGGGAUGGUUACGCAUUGACGAAUUUAUAGGAAAAUGAAUUUUAUCAAAAAUUCAAGAUAUGUGCUCCAAAUUGUAUUUCUGAUACGAACCAAUUGGUUUGACCUGUAUAUGAUAAGAGGUGGAACGUUGGAUUGAAAUGGGAAGGUGAUAAGAUCGAAUUGAAUAGUAUCGAUUGGCUGAGGUAUCGAUUUUAUCAUACGUCCCUAAGACUGCUGCUGCUGUACCUGGCCGUUUCAAAAUUUCCAUCUGGUCGCACAUGGAAACGCUCUGUUUGCCUUGUGCUCCCUGGUGUCCAGUGUGUGUUCCGACAUUCUACAAAUUGUAGGUUGGAUCAAUGGCUAGAGAGGUUAGGUACCUGCAGACCACAUAUGAUAUCAGGUCAUACUAGACCACACAUAGCAUACAUUCUAGGGAAAGAUUCGAAACGUUAUAAAUAAUUCAAGUGGACUUGGUAAAAUUUGAAAAUUAAAAUUAUGGUUACGCUUGGUAGUUUCGAUGAGAAAUUUUGAAAAAUUCAAGUACCAUACUUUUUCAUAUAUUUUUUUUCCUUUUCUCUACCUCAAUCGAUAUCACGAGAUCCCCCGUAUACAUGUGUAUUCGCAUAAGGAUCCUGGGUCCUUGACUACGCGUGGCCGACAAUGACUUUCUUUGCACAGUGGGUGCCACUCGACGCGUCACCAAGCACCCUCUAACUCUGAUAACCCUUAUCAUGCCUGCUACCUACUUCAAGCUGCUGCACCCUCUUGCAGCCCUAUUGCCUUAUCCUCUUCCAUCCCUCUGUCAUGACGAUUCUUUCCUGCUACUUCCCUAUGCCUUCACCUCAAAUACCCUAGACUCGAUGUCAAUGGGCCCUAGGGAAUUCACUGCGUUAAGUGAUCACGCAUGGUUGCAGGCAGUUGCGUAAUUUCUGGGGAAUUCUGAGGGAGAUUUUUGUUUUAUAUUUUUAGGAGGCGAAGAGUUGCUUGGUAUGAUAAUUUAUUUUGGGUACUCGGUCUAGGGAUAUUUAGGAAAUUUUUAGGACGCCCUCACUGUUUUAGAGUCUGGUAAGUUCCGUUGAAAUCCGCUAGGAUGCCCUGAAAUACCAUAAGUAAACAUGCAUUCAAUUAUUCAUUCUCAUUUCUGUUAUAUAUACAUAUAUUUUUUAUUACACGUUAAAGACGUCAGAGAGGUUAGGAAGUUGAAUUUCUGGGGAAACUUUUUAUUCCUCCCUGUAAAGAAUGUACGUCGAGUGACACUUGCCUUGAUACGUAAAGUAUCCAAUUUUUUUUUUUUCAAGUGAGGACUCAAAUUCUCAAUAAACUCUCGAGGGUAAUUUUGUUUCUUCGUAGUUCUGGAGUCAAUCCGACGGAUCGAAAUAAAUUUUUUAUACGAAAUUGAAUAAUAUAUCCUCGAACGAGAUAGCGUUUACGUGAUUUUUCGAAUAAAAUUUCUAAUCGGAAUUCAGGGUCUGAUUUUUACUUGGUUCGUACCUGAGAUACGGACAAACCAUUUCGGGAUAACAAAAUGUCUCGUUCGUGGCGUCAUGGCGAUAACAAAAAAAAAAGGUCAGGAACGAAGUUAACCAUCUAAUGAGGCGACAAAAAACCCAAAUGAAACGUAAAUACAGAACGGUCCGGUAAUUGCCUCGUCGUUGUUUCAGCCGUCAGACUUUUUACGAGCAAAAGGGGUUUACAUAUAGUCGACUGGCCACAGAAUCCCGCGGGGUUCUUGACCCAAAUUUCUUCCAUAUUUUUUUAUCCCUUCACUUUUUAUCUUACCUUCUUUAUUGCGAUUCCUCGUGUAUUACGACCUGGCAUGCACCAGGGUUACCUUGCGAUUUAUUUCGUUGCUACCCCGUUGACGCGACUCAUCCUAACCUACCCCAACGUUACUAUAGUAAAAUUUUCUUAUCCUCCCCUCCACCCCCUGUCGACCUUAAAAAUUAACAAGAGUCAAAAAUAAAUAUUCAAAAAAUUAUUUUCCUUUGAAAUAUUAACAAAAACAAAUUAACAAUUAACAAAAACUAUAUAAUUUCUCAUUUUAUCAUUUAUCCCUCCAUCAACCAUCCCCUAAGCUUUUGAGACCUCAAAAGGGUAAAAUUACUUUUUGGGGUCAUGACGUGACAUUCAAGUUCGAGGAAUGUAUUAAUUGUAUAAUCCAAUGAACUAAGGGUAGGUACUUUAUCCACCCAGACCAGGGUUGAUCUCUUUCAGAAUAUCAUCUGAUCAUCCCACAGCGUCUCCACCCCUGUCUCCUUCCUUCACAAUAUGUUGAUCGAUCGAUCACCCAUGACUGUGCCUACUCGUUAAAAUAAGAAAGUGCCAGUUGCCAUUUGCAAAAAAAAAAUAAAAAAUUUCAGCAAGCCGAAUCUGCCUAAAAUACCAAGGCAAACGCCCUUUCCAUCCCCUUUGCUCUUUUAACAGCAAGUAAAAAAAAAUUCGAAUAAAAUCAACCUUUUUUUUAUAUUCCUUAAAACUUUUUUUUCCUUCCUUUCACCUUCAACGCUUCUGAAUCGAGAAUACAGGCAACUUUGACGUCUACAGAUCCAGAGCAUCUUGUAUCCUUAACACUAACGUCCAUCUGACGAUAUCAAUCGUAAGGAAUAAUAAUUUUUAAAAAUGCAAAUGCGAAAAAAAUUUGUAAAAAUGUUCCCAAUUUUUUUCAUCCGACAUACGCCAUUUUACCCACCAGCCAAAAUCGGUUUAUCCACAUUCAAAUAUUCAUUCCAAACAUCUCCGGAGUUUUUGCGAAUAAAAUAGCAAUCCUGUAUAAAAUACAGCAAACAGACAUAUUUAUUUCGACUAAGGGAUGAAAUUCUUCAAUAACGCCAUUACACAAGUCUAAGACGCGUAAGUGACGUAACAUACUGGUUAAAUUGAAAGGAAGUGUCGAAGGAGGGGAAAGUGGGUUAGGGGGGUCCUGCACAUACCUGAUAAUUCAGUGCUUGCGCCCUUUUGUCAGUAAAAUUAGUUUAUAAAUUGAAUAGUGUCGAAGCACCCCCCCCCCUCCCUCCCAGUAUCUUCAGCAAUAGUGCUGGCAAGCCAAAGCCGAAGGGGUAGUGGGGUAAGUAAAAGGGGGGGGGGGCUCGUACACUUCCGGUACACGCUAUAAGCUACCUACAGUGAACGCCAAAGGAUUCCUUUAUAUCCCAUCCAAUUAAUUAUGUACUAACUUCACUCCGCUCGAACCAAAGACGCAAACUUCAGGAUGAAAGCGAAACACCUUGUCGCUCGAAGAAAAUACGGUUCACCCAUAAAACUGAUAAACCGACAACCAAUCUCGUAGCUUUCAUAUAUUUAGGAAUAUUGGAAUUCGACGGGCGUAAAAGAAAAAAUUGUUAAAUAAAAAAUCCCAUAAUUUUUUUAAAAGCCAGUGUAACCCUGAAAUAUUAUGGCGGCGUUGCAAGCCACGUGUAAACAUUGUCCGAGCUUAUCCUAAUUAGAGGUUAGGGGCUGCGCGUAGCCAGACACCAAAUCGUAACGGGGAUAACAUUAACAGGAGUCGUAUGAAUUAAACAUGAGCCUUGUAGGACGCGUAUAAGACGAAGAGUGUGGGUUUGGAAACCGUAACAUUCGCAUGAGUUACUCUCGAGCCGUUGAAUAUGUGUCUGGGUUAGGUUAGGUUAGGUUACACUGCCCCAGAGCUCCGAGGUACGAUAAAGGCCUUAACACAGGCAUUACGGUAUAAUUGCAAUAAAUUGUCGAGACGGUCGUUGUGCGAGAAUUUUGAAUUUGAAAUCUCGGUUAAGAGCGAGUGCGACGUGAAUUUAGUCAAAGAGGCUUUUAUUGCCGGUUGAAUUACUGUGCGAGGUGUAGGAACAGCUAUUGCGUGAUUAUUUACUAUUGUGACUGUACACUGGCGACUGGUGGCUGAUGGGUAACGGGACCGAAGUUUCCGUUAAAAGCAAUCGAUUCGAUUUUAGGAAAAUGCAUUUCGAAUCGAUAUAUUUUUCAAAUGAUUUUGGUUUGGUAAUGGGGGGAUGGGGAAAAUGAGAUAGUCGAUGGUGGGGAGUAAGCAGAUUUUUAACCCUUCUGGGAAAUUGCGUUAUCGUCGGUAAAAUGGCGGUGGCUGCUUUGCGUACUGCAAAGGCGGAAAGUUUCACAGGCGCUCUUUAACUUUUAUUCCAUUGAUCUUUUGGAAUUACUUGAACCACUGGUUGAAAAUUUGAAAAGAGUCAAACCCUUGAGAAAUUUAAUAUGGCCGAUGGGUUAGGGUAGGCUUGUACUUUGCUCGAGAUGACUGUACCAGAUGGGGAUUCACUUGGUGAAGUGUAGUAAAAGAGCUCAUUAAGAUUGUUGAGUUUUUACCACUUGACAGGCAGUACAUACACUUCAGGUGGUGUAUAUGAAUAUUUUAGUAAGGGGUGUUCACAACGUGAACCAAAUUGAUUAAUCGAUCGGGGAAUAUCGAUAUUUUUAAUUUUCAGAUUUUUGAAAUUUUUUAUUUAUUUUUCUUUUACAUAAUUAUUUUGCUCAUUAUUUCUCUAUUUAUAGGAUUGGUAUUGUAUACACUUAUGGGGUUAAUAUUGUACGUUUUUGUAGGGUCGAUACUGUAUAUGUUGAUGGGGUUUAUACUUGCACGUGUCAUUAACGUAACCAUAAAUACAAAUGGGCGAUGGGCAAUGGGCAAUGGGUUUUGGGUCCUUCGACUAUCGUUAUGGUUCAGACCGAAAAAGAUUUACGUUCAAUAACAACGUUGAAUGCCGACGCCAUAUGUCCGUGGAAAUAGGCCGGGGCGGCAUGAAAUUGCGUGGAAAGUCAGCUCCGGGGAUUUAGCCGCACAUGACGUUUACAUUCAACCAGAACUUUGUCUCUUUUCUUUUUCUUUGUGUUGCGAAACGUUACGCACUGGCCGAUACUCUGGCUGGAUUUGAAUGCACAAACGUUAUAAGUCUUUUGCAGGGUGUUGGAAUAAAAAUCGAUGAAACUUUCAUCUAGGAAGACGGCAGACGAUGUAAUCUUAUACUGGGUGAUCUGAAAGAAAUAUAAAAAGUGGACAAGACUGCGGUAGAGUCAACGAUCAUUGGAAAUGAUGAAAUCAAGACACUCAAUAUCCAGUUAUAGAAAGUGAGCAAACUGUACGAACAAACACGACAAGAAGGAGAAAGGAAGCGGCAAACUUCAGGGGAUUUCAUGACUAAGGAACAUGGAACAGGAACUAGGAACUUCUGCCGGAAGAGACACUGUGCAAUUAAUCGUCCAGGCAGUUCCUGUAGAAGAUGUCUAAAGAACCGUCCGCUGUAGUAAUACUCUAAAGGAGUAAAUAAUCCUCGGAUUUAUUAAAACAUUCUUUGCCUCUUUUAAAAAUUCAUCGACUUCAUUUUCUCAUUUGCCAGCCAGAUCGUAAAUGCAAAGAGAAACUUUUUUUUUCUAAAUUAUCACAUGUGGCAAAUCAAUUG
Molecule: long non-coding RNA, 6841 nt
Organism: Cephus cinctus (wheat stem sawfly)
Lineage: Eukaryota; Metazoa; Arthropoda; Insecta; Hymenoptera; Cephidae
Exons: 9
Source: RefSeq, a predicted model, not a curated record